This 647-nucleotide long non-coding RNA is filed under the name Prunus persica (peach). RNAcentral's name for it is "long non-coding RNA (PPER_LNC001364)". Lineage: Eukaryota; Viridiplantae; Streptophyta; Magnoliopsida; Rosales; Rosaceae. The record is from RNAcentral.
AGAAAGAUAACAUAGAAAAAGAGCCACAAAUAAGGAUUGUGACAACAAUUCAAGUAAUUUCCAUGGUAUUUUUAUUAUCGAUAUACGUACAAAGAGUGUUCCAUUCUUAAGAAGCACAGCAGGUCACAGUUAGCAUAACUUGUUCAUUUCAGCCUUUGAACUGCUAGCAUGGCUUGAGUUUCCUCAUUCCACAUGUGAAAGACCCCCACCUUUAGCCUUUGUCCUGCAAACAACAUAACAUCAGUUCUUUUCUCCACUGGCAAAUAGCCUCGAAUUCAUUCGACAAGACAUGAAAUUCUACAGAGUUUUACUGAUAAACCCACAAGGAGUAACCCAACCCGCAUUUCUUUGAAAAAGACCAAAUUUUCCAUUCCGCAAGGAUAAUGAAAGCUUACUUGUGAUCGGAAGGAUUUGGCCUGAGUUCAUAAACAAUUGUUGCCACAACAUCCCUCUUCAACAAAAGCACUCUAAGUCACAGCAUAAAGAAUGCACUGAUAAAAAGAGUGAAUUGUUGGGAAGAGCUAACCUUUACGUUGUUGAUAAACGAUGAGAAAGAGUGAGUCGCUAGCUUGAUGCAUUUGCAGAGAUGGCAGACCCGCCCAGGAACCAUUUUCGAACUUUGAUUGUUGGUCAUUAAAGGACAGUCG